ACGAACGCUGGCGGCGUGCUUAACACAUGCAAGUCGAACGGAAAGGCCCUGCUUUUGUGGGGUGCUCGAGUGGCGAACGGGUGAGUAACACGUGAGUAACCUGCCCUUGACUUUGGGAUAACUUCAGGAAACUGGGGCUAAUACCGGAUAGGAGCUCCUGCUGCCUGGUGGGGGUUGGAAAGUUUCGGCGGUUGGGGAUGGACUCGCGGCUUAUCAGCUUGUUGGUGGGGUAGUGGCUUACCAAGGCUUUGACGGGUAGCCGGCCUGAGAGGGUGACCGGGCCCAUGGGGAAGGGGAUACGGCCCGGAGCCCUGAGGGGGGCAGAAGGGGGGAAAUUUGCAAAAGGGGCGGAAGCCUGAGGCAGCAACGCCGGGGGGGGGUGGACGGCCUUCGGGUGUUAAACCGUUUUCCCCUGUGACGAGGCGGGGGGGAGGUGAAUGGGUAAAAAAGCACCGGCUAACUACUU
RNAcentral lists this ribosomal RNA (466 nucleotides) under uncultured bacterium. RNAcentral's name for it is "partial 16S ribosomal RNA". It matches the Rfam family "Bacterial small subunit ribosomal RNA", at positions 29 to 506 of the family's 1533-position model. The record is from RNAcentral.